RNAcentral lists this ribosomal RNA (324 nucleotides) under uncultured prokaryote. Its description in RNAcentral is "bacterial SSU rRNA". It matches the Rfam family "Bacterial small subunit ribosomal RNA", at positions 26 to 352 of the family's 1533-position model. The record is from RNAcentral.
AGAUUGAACGCUGGCGGCAUGCCUAACACAUGCAAGUCGAGCGGCAGCGCGGGGGCGACCCUGGCGGCGAGCGGCGGACGGGUGAGUAAGGCAUCGGAAUCUGCCCUGAUGUGGGGGAUAACGUAGGGAAACUUACGCUAAUACCGCAUACGACCGAGAGGUGAAAGCGGGGGACCGAAAGGCCUCGCGCAGCAGGAUGAGCCGAUGUCCGAUUAGCUAGUUGGUGGGGUAACGGCCUACCAAGGCGACGAUCGGUAGCUGGUCUGAGAGGACGACCAGCCACACUGGGACUGAGACACGGCCCAGACUCCUACGGGAGGCAGC